Molecule: long non-coding RNA, 745 nt
Filed under: Chinchilla lanigera (long-tailed chinchilla)
Lineage: Eukaryota; Metazoa; Chordata; Mammalia; Rodentia; Chinchillidae
Description: lncRNA (ENSCLAG00000026354.1)
Source: RNAcentral
CUGUCUUCUCUAUCUGUUCCCACUCCAACCCUCUGCCACCCAAGUUAGUUUCACUGGCAGGUACUCAAGGCUCUGCCUCCAAAACAUCUGUCCUUUCUCUGCGGUUGCCCUUGUCUAGGGCCACUGUCUCUCACCUGAAAAACUGACUGCUUCUUUGCUUGUCUUACUAUUUUGGACUGAGCCAACAUCACUGGCUGACAUGCUUGUAUUUCUCCAAAAUGUGAAUCAAGGAAUACCAUUCCCAUGCUUAACACCAUUCAAAGGAUUCCCAUGGUACCAGGAUCAAACCCAAAUUCCUUCCUGGGGUCCCCGUGUCCAUUCCUGUCCACCACCUUGACAUCAUCCCAUGCCACUCCAUCUCUCUCAGGUCAUAUGCUCUGGGCACUGAGGUGUUCUGCUGCAGGAAUAACUGUACCUCUGCAGAUAAUCGGACAAACCAGGAAACCACAUGCAAUGGGCCAACAGGACAGUACCAAAGAAACUGGUACCAUGCUGACACUUUGUGAGCGCUCACAAAGGACCAGAUUCCCCUUGUCUACAUGCAUUAGUUCAUUCAGUCAUAAGAAAAUCCCAGCGCACAGGUACUCCAUUAUCUCUAUUUUGCAGGCAAAGGAAGUUGAAGCACAGAGAGAUUGGAUAGGUUGCUCAAUCUCACACAGCCAGUUCAGGGAAGACUCAGUAUUUAAGACGGAGUAUAGUAAACACCAUAUAAUGAUGUUACAGCCAGCUACUCUCUGCAUCUGCU